AUGCAAAUGCGAAAGAAUAAAAAGAGGUCACAUAAUACAAAUUCGAACGUGGAAAAAAAAGGUCAUCGAGUAUUUUUCUUUAUUGACAUUUCUACCAAAUUCCGAAAUUGACAUCCUCAAUUUGUUGAUCAACUUUGAUUGGAUAGCUAUCACUAGAUGACUGGGUCUGCGGUGGCGACCGACCUGAAAUUCAUCUACGUCACAACGGGAAACCAUUUGGAACGGAUAUAAACGUUCCUAAAUGGUUAUGUUACACACUUUAUAACUUACACAGGUGAACAAUGGGAUGAGUUAAGACUUUAGCUCAGACAAGAAUUUUAUUUGUUCCUUUCUGGAUCCGUGUCCCUAUCUCUGAUGGAACGAAUGAAUCAGAAAAUAAUCGAAGUUAAAAUGGAAAUGAUGAAAGUAAUCGAUGUUAAAAUUGAAAUGAUGAAAAUCGGAAGAUAGUAAACAUUUGGGUGCCUUUAGCGGAUCCAACUCCCACACCUAACGUCUUUCACUGUCAUAGAAACGAAUCUAGUUUAAUUCAAGUUUGGGUGAAUAAAGGUAGGCUCGCGUAUCUGUUCGAGUUAUCACCCGCCGCAAUCAUAUAGUAGUUAUUUAAGUUAGAAAUGUGAUAUUUAUAAAAAUAAAUAAAUAAUAAUUUAAUAUUCAAAUAAGACAGCAGUUUAGUUCAAUUAUAAGUUUGCCAGCUUAAUUUUUGUUUUGAAAAUUAUUUCUGUUCAAUUUGUCUAGUAAUUCAAUAUGUUUAAAUACAAUUGUUUGGUUUCUUAAUUUCCUACGACUAUAUAUAAGUUUUUCUAGAAUCUAAUUUUGCUUUUUAGGAUGAUUUAAAAACCUACCCAAAUGCUAAAUUAAGGUGCGGCCGGGGUGUUCAAAUUCAACAGAAGGAAGAUGCUUCAAGGAAAAAAAAAUCAACAUAAGACCUCAAAAAAUGGAAUUAUUAAAUCUCCAUUACUAUUCAUGUUGCUGAUGGUGGUCAAUCUAUUUCACCUGGCUUCAACAUCUCUUCCUUUCAUCAACACGAGCAGAUCUCUAUUAUCCCCUUCAAUUUCAACCUGUUGAUCCAGCUCUGCUGCCCAAUUGGAAGCUGCUUUUGCUCCCUUUGUUAUCAAAUCUGAGAUGUUGGUGAAGAGGAUCGGAAUUCCCCUGGCACCAUUGCAGUUUCCAGUAUGAUAAGAGAGGAUUAGCCCAAUGCCUGUUGUACCUUGGCUUGGUUCUCAGAUACCCACAUUAAUUUCAGAGAAAGGAAUUGUGGGAGCUUCCAACUAUUCAUGUAAGUUAUGUGAAUUUGGUUUAUAUAAUUUUUCCCUGAAUAUGAAAUAUGCAAAUUUGUGUUAGGUUUAUCCAUCACAGCUGUAUGAAGGUUUAUGUAGUUUAUUAUCUGUUUUUCCACUUUAUGAGUUGGGAUGGAAUUUUGUUCAAAUACCAUUGUGCACAUUUGUUUCCAUAUAUGCCAAUUCACAAUUGCACUGAAUUCAUACCA
This is a long non-coding RNA of Papaver somniferum (opium poppy), 1486 nucleotides long. RefSeq lists it as uncharacterized. The record is from RefSeq and is a predicted model, not a curated record. The transcript is spliced from 2 exons. Lineage: Eukaryota; Viridiplantae; Streptophyta; Magnoliopsida; Ranunculales; Papaveraceae.